GAUAUACAAAAAAAUGGCGAAAAUUUUGAUAAAGUUCAUGAAAAUUUUGAGAAUCAGUACCAUCGUACUAUCAAUGGUAUUGAAUAUGAUUAUGAGUCAUUAAGAAAUUUUCUUAAUUUUCCUGAUGAG
Diuraphis noxia (Russian wheat aphid) is the source of this 129-nucleotide long non-coding RNA. NCBI's taxonomy places the organism in Eukaryota, Metazoa, Arthropoda, Insecta, Hemiptera, Aphididae. The record is from RefSeq and is a predicted model, not a curated record.